RNAcentral lists this ribosomal RNA (293 nucleotides) under uncultured bacterium. RNAcentral describes it as "partial 16S ribosomal RNA". It matches the Rfam family "Bacterial small subunit ribosomal RNA", at positions 775 to 1067 of the family's 1533-position model. The record is from RNAcentral.
GGAUUAGAUACCCUGGUAGUCCACGCCGUAAACGUUGGGCGCUAGGUGUGGGGUGCUGUUCACGUGUCCCGUGCCGUAGCUAACGCAUUAAGCGCCCCGCCUGGGGAGUACGGCCGCAAGGCUAAAACUCAAAGGAAUUGACGGGGGCCCGCACAAGCGGCGGAGCAUGUGGAUUAAUUCGAUGCAACGCGAAGAACCUUACCUGGGCUUGACAUGCACCGGAUCGGCGUAGAGAUACGUCUUCCCUUGUGGCUGGUGCACAGGUGGUGCAUGGCUGUCGUCAGCUCGUGCCG